UGAGUUUUGAUCCUGGCUCAGAUUGAACGCUGGCGGCAGGCCUAACACAUGCAAGUCGAGCGGAUGAAGGGAGCUUGCUCCUGGAUUCAGCGGCGGACGGGUGAGUAAUGCCUAGGAAUCUGCCUGGUAGUGGGGGAUAACGUCCGGAAACGGGCGCUAAUACCGCAUACGUCCUGAGGGAGAAAGUGGGGGAUCUUCGGACCUCACGCUAUCAGAUGAGCCUAGGUCGGAUUAGCUAGUUGGUGGGGUAAAGGCCUACCAAGGCGACGAUCCGUAACUGGUCUGAGAGGAUGAUCAGUCACACUGGAACUGAGACACGGUCCAGACUCCUACGGGAGGCAGCAGUGGGGAAUAUUGGACAAUGGGCGAAAGCCUGAUCCAGCCAUGCCGCGUGUGUGAAGAAGGUCUUCGGAUUGUAAAGCACUUUAAGUUGGGAGGAAGGGCAGUAAGUUAAUACCUUGCUGUUUUGACGUUACCAACAGAAUAAGCACCGGCUAACA
Molecule: ribosomal RNA, 500 nt
Filed under: Pseudomonas aeruginosa
Lineage: Bacteria; Pseudomonadati; Pseudomonadota; Gammaproteobacteria; Pseudomonadales; Pseudomonadaceae
Description: bacterial SSU rRNA
Rfam family: Bacterial small subunit ribosomal RNA
Source: RNAcentral